RNAcentral lists this transfer RNA (63 nucleotides) under Chaetoderma nitidulum. RNAcentral's name for it is "tRNA-Met". Lineage: Eukaryota; Metazoa; Mollusca; Caudofoveata; Chaetodermatida; Chaetodermatidae. The record is from RNAcentral.
UGGAAAGUAAGCUAAAAAAGCUGUUGGGCUCAUAUCUCAAAUAUAACUGAAAGUUCUUUCUAU